GUAUUCAUGUCAACAGCACACAUACUAAAAUAGAAAUGAUACCGUGAAAUUUAGUAUGGCCCCUGCACAAGGAAAACAUCCAGAUCCCCACACUUCCAGUGUGU
RNAcentral lists this small nuclear RNA (104 nucleotides) under Meriones unguiculatus (Mongolian gerbil). The record is from RNAcentral. Lineage: Eukaryota; Metazoa; Chordata; Mammalia; Rodentia; Muridae.